AAUGAACGCUGGCGGCGUGCCUAACACAUGCAAGUCGGAUGUGCCCGCAAGGGUGCAUGGCAGACGGGUGAGUAACGCGUGGGGAAUCUACCUUUUAGUGGGGAAUAACGCUCCGAAAGGAGUGGUAAUACCGCAUGUGACCAUUGGCUGGGAUGUUGAUGGUGAAACCCUGGGACCUUCGGGCCAGGGGCUAAAGAGGAUCCUGCGUCUGAUUAGCUAGUUGGCGGGGUAACGGCCCACCAAGGCGACGAUCAGUAGCCGGCCUGAGAGGGUGAUCGGCCACACUGGAACUGAGACACGGUCCAGACUCCUACGGGAGGCAGCAGUAGGGAAUAUUGGGCAAUGGAGGCAACUCUGACCCAGCCACGCCGCGUGGAGGAUGAAGGUGCUAUGCAUCGUAAACUUCCUUUGUCAAGGGAGAAAGUGCUUGAUUUAUCGAGUUUUGACGGUACUUGGCGAAUAAGCAUCGGCUAACUACGUGCCAGCAGCCGAC
Molecule: ribosomal RNA, 493 nt
Filed under: uncultured bacterium
Lineage: Bacteria
Description: bacterial SSU rRNA
Rfam family: Bacterial small subunit ribosomal RNA
Source: RNAcentral